CCUACGGGAGACAGCAGUGAGGAAUAUUGGUCAAUGGGCGAGAGCCUGAACCAGCCAAGUAGCGUGAAGGAUGACUGCCCUACGGGUUGUAAACCUCUUUUAUCAGGGAAUAAAGUGAGGCACGUGUGCCUUUUUGUAUGUACUUUAUGAAAAAGGAUCGGCUAACUCCGUGCCAGCAGCCGCGGUAAUACGGAGGGUCCGAGCGUUAUCCGGAUUUAUUGGGUUUAAAGGGAGCGUAGGUGGGUGGUUAAGUCAGUGGGGAAAGUUUGCGGCUCAACCGUAAAAUUGCAAUUGAAACUGGCAGUCUUGAGUACGGUUGAGGUAGGCGGAAUUCGUGGUGUAGCGGUGAAAUGCUUAGAUAUCACGAAGAACUCCGAUUGCGAAGGCAGCUUACUAAACUGCCACUGACGUUGAUGCUCGAAAGUGUGGGUAUCAAACAGGAUUAGAUACCCGGGUAGUC
This 460-nucleotide ribosomal RNA is filed under the name uncultured bacterium. Its description in RNAcentral is "partial 16S ribosomal RNA". It matches the Rfam family "Bacterial small subunit ribosomal RNA", at positions 338 to 795 of the family's 1533-position model. The record is from RNAcentral.